CAGCAGCCACGGUAAUACGAAGGGGGCUAGCGUUGUUCGGAACCACUGGGCGUAAAGCGCACGUAGGCGGACGCUUAAGUCAGGGGUGAAAUCCCGAGGCUCAACCUCGGAACUGCCUUUGAUACUGGGUGUCUUGAGUCCGGGAGAGGUGAGUGGAACUGCGAGUGUAGAGGUGAAAUUCGUAGAUAUUCGCAAGAACACCAGUGGCGAAGGCGGCUCACUGGCCCGGAACUGACGCUGAGGUGCGAAAGCGUGGGGAGCAAACAGGAUUAGAUACCCCCGUAGUCCCUGUCUCUUAUAC
RNAcentral lists this ribosomal RNA (301 nucleotides) under uncultured bacterium. Its description in RNAcentral is "partial 16S ribosomal RNA". It matches the Rfam family "Bacterial small subunit ribosomal RNA", at positions 509 to 807 of the family's 1533-position model. The record is from RNAcentral.